Molecule: ribosomal RNA, 398 nt
Filed under: uncultured bacterium
Lineage: Bacteria
Description: partial 16S ribosomal RNA
Rfam family: Bacterial small subunit ribosomal RNA
Source: RNAcentral
GAAUAUUGGACAAUGGGCGAAAGCCUGAUCCAGCCAUGCCGCGCGAGUGAAGAAGGCCUUCGGGUUGUAAAGCUCUUUCAGCUGUGAAGAUGAUGACUGUAGCAGCAGAAGAAGCCCCGGCUAACUCCGUGCCAGCAGCCGCGGUAAUACGGAGGGGGCUAGCGUUGUUCGGAAUUACUGGGCGUAAAGCGCGCGUAGGCGGUGUGCAUAGUCAGAGGUGAAAGCCCGGAGCUCAACUCCGGAAUUGCCUUUGAUACUGGCACGCUAGAAUCUGUGAGAGGGUAGCGGAAUUCCUAGUGUAGAGGUGAAAUUCGUAGAUAUUAGGAAGAACACCAGUGGCGAAGGCGGCUACCUGGCACAGUAUUGACGCUGAGGUGCGAAAGCGUGGGGAGCGAACA